Molecule: ribosomal RNA, 250 nt
Filed under: uncultured bacterium
Lineage: Bacteria
Description: partial 16S ribosomal RNA
Rfam family: Bacterial small subunit ribosomal RNA
Source: RNAcentral
UACGAAGGGGACUAGCGUUGUUCGGAAUCACUGGGCGUAAAGCGCACGUAGGCGGAUUUGUAAGUCAGGGGUGAAAUCCCGGGGCUCAACCUCGGAACUGCCUUUGAUACUGCGAGUCUUGAGUCCGAUAGAGGUGGGUGGAAUUCCUAGUGUAGAGGUGAAAUUCGUAGAUAUUAGGAAGAACACCGGUGGCGAAGGCGGCCCACUGGAUCGGUACUGACGCUGAGGUGCGAAAGCGUGGGGAGCAAAC